Molecule: ribosomal RNA, 333 nt
Filed under: Brachistosternus weijenberghii
Lineage: Eukaryota; Metazoa; Arthropoda; Arachnida; Scorpiones; Bothriuridae
Description: partial 12S small subunit ribosomal RNA
Source: RNAcentral
UAAAAAUUUACUUAUCUUAGGUAGUAACAGAUUUCUUGAAACCUAAAGAAUUUGGCGGUAUUUUAAAUAAUUAGAGGAACCUGUUAAGUAAAUGAUAAUCCACAACAUAUCUUACCUUAAUUAAGUUUGUAUACCGUUGUUUUUAGAUUAUAUUUUAAAAUUAUAAUCAAAAUUAAUUAAUUUUUAUAAAUCAAAUCAAGGUGCAGCAUAUUUAGGUUUUUAUGGGUUACAAUAUAUUUAUAUAUACGGAUAAAUUAUGAAAAUAUUUUUGAAGGUGGAUUUAAAAGUAAUUUAAAAUUAAUAUGUUUAAAUGAAUAAAAAUUUAAAAUAUGU